UGUUAUUUUGAGUAUGGUUCAGUGGCAAUACUGUCAAUGGCAUUGUUGUUUAGGAGUUGAAUGUGUUAUACACAUCUUCGAAACGACAGUGAUGUAAUAUACCUUGGAAGAAAAAGCAGAGAACAAGGUUAGGAUGAGAAAAUUCUGUUUUGCUCCCGGUAGGAUGAGAAAAUUCUGUUUUGCUCCCAGAGCUUUUGCCACGAGCUCUUGGAUGAAUAAAGAUGUGAUUGUAGUUAUUUUGGAAAUGAUGUUGAUCUUUAUGGGUUAUGACCGACAAUAAGCUAUAUAAAAGU
RNAcentral lists this long non-coding RNA (293 nucleotides) under Citrus x clementina. RNAcentral describes it as "Citrus clementina (C. clementina) long non-coding RNA (CCLE_LNC004691)". Lineage: Eukaryota; Viridiplantae; Streptophyta; Magnoliopsida; Sapindales; Rutaceae. The record is from RNAcentral.